This 477-nucleotide ribosomal RNA is filed under the name uncultured bacterium. Its description in RNAcentral is "bacterial SSU rRNA". It matches the Rfam family "Bacterial small subunit ribosomal RNA", at positions 87 to 583 of the family's 1533-position model. The record is from RNAcentral.
CAGACUUAGUGGCGGACGGGUGAGUAACGCGUGGAUAACCUGCCUUAUACAGGGGGAUAACGGAGAGAAAUCUCCGCUAAGACCGCAUAAGACCACAGCACCGCAUGGUGCAGGGGUAAAAUAUUUAUAGGUAUAAGAUGGAUCCGCGCCCGAUUAGCUAGUUGGUGAGGUAGAAGCUCACCAAGGCGACGAUCGGUAGCCGGCCUGAGAGGGUGAACGGCCACAUUGGGACUGAGACACGGCCCAAACUCCUACGGGAGGCAGCAGUGGGGAAUAUUGGACAAUGGGGGAAACCCUGAUCCAGCGACGCCGCGUGAGUGAAGAAGUAUUUCGGUAUGUAAAGCUCUAUCAGCAGGGAAGAAAAUGACGGUACCUGACUAAGAAGCCCCGGCUAACUACGUGCCAGCAGCCGCGGUAAUACGUAGGGGGCAAGCGUUAUCCGGAUUUACUGGGUGUAAAGGAGCGCAGACGGCGAAG